Long non-coding RNA from Lingula anatina, 211 nucleotides. The record is from RefSeq and is a predicted model, not a curated record. NCBI's taxonomy places the organism in Eukaryota, Metazoa, Brachiopoda, Lingulata, Lingulida, Lingulidae.
GUUCUAUAGUGAACAUUCCGACCAAUGAGCGAUGUCACCUGACCUCCCUACUGACGCACUUUUCAGGACUGCAGUCAAAGCGAAAGGGGCGUAGUUCGGGAAGUCGAAAUAACGCGACAACAAAAGAGAGUUUGUUCUCGUCAAGUGCAAGAGACGGAAAUUCCACUGUUGACAACACAUCUCGUCCCCAUGAUCUGUCUUGAAGGCAUUA